Small nuclear RNA from Meriones unguiculatus (Mongolian gerbil), 106 nucleotides. The record is from Ensembl. NCBI's taxonomy places the organism in Eukaryota, Metazoa, Chordata, Mammalia, Rodentia, Muridae.
GUGCUAGUUUUGAAAGCAUAUAUGCUAAAAUUGGAAUAUAUAUAGAAGAUUCCCAUGGCCCAUCCACAAAGAUGACAUGCAAAUUUGUGGAGCAUUCCAUAUUUUU